RNAcentral lists this unclassified non-coding RNA (351 nucleotides) under uncultured fungus. RNAcentral describes it as "sequence contains ITS1". The stretch from base 1 to 107 matches the Rfam family "5.8S ribosomal RNA", at positions 50 to 154 of the family's 154-position model. Lineage: Eukaryota; Fungi. The record is from RNAcentral.
GAAAUGCGAUACUUGGUGUGAAUUGCAGAAUCCCGUGAACCAUCGAGUCUUUGAACGCAAGUUGCGCCCGAAGCCCUCGUGGCCAGGGCACGUCUGUCUGGGCGUCACGCACCGCGUCGCCCCCACCCCCCCCGCCCGGGGGGGGAACGGGGCGGAGACUGGCCCCCCGUGUGCCUCGUGGCGCGCGGCCGGCCCAAACGCAGACCCCGCGACCGCUGGACGGCGCGACGAUCGGUGGAGUAGACCCUACGCAUCCCGUCGCGCCCCGAGCGGCCCUCGGAGGCCACGAUCGACCCCCAGUGAAACCACCGUUGCGACCCCAGAUCAGGCGGGACUACCCGCUGAGUUUAA